GUACACACCGCCCGUCACACCAUGGGAGUGGAUUGCACCAGAAGUAGGUAGCUUAACCUUCGGGAGGGCGCUUACCACGGUGUGGUUCAUGACUGGGGUGAAGUCGUAACAAGGUUUCCGUAGGUGAACCUGCAGAAGGAUCA
This 143-nucleotide ribosomal RNA is filed under the name uncultured eukaryote. RNAcentral describes it as "partial small subunit ribosomal RNA". It matches the Rfam family "Bacterial small subunit ribosomal RNA", at positions 1383 to 1525 of the family's 1533-position model. The record is from RNAcentral.